AUGGUAAGAUGCUGUAUACCGUUAAGUUCAACACUGGAAAGUCCAAUGCUGUCUGGCCUUUUUCCAGAGUUCAUAGAACAGGAUCUGUGCACAAGCCUGCAGGGAAAGCCGUGUCAGCUCCCUUUGACUACAAAGAAAAACACUGAUUCUAUCAAAACACUUCUGAAAGAGCUUAUGGACCAUUUUCUUCAGUUACAACCAGAGAGAAAGAUUACAAAGUGCUCUAUAAGUAAGGUAAUGCUAUCCCAGUUACAUCAGUUGUCCUGA
RNAcentral lists this long non-coding RNA (267 nucleotides) under Chinchilla lanigera (long-tailed chinchilla). RNAcentral describes it as "lncRNA (ENSCLAG00000027082.1)". The record is from RNAcentral. Lineage: Eukaryota; Metazoa; Chordata; Mammalia; Rodentia; Chinchillidae.